This 452-nucleotide ribosomal RNA is filed under the name Gilliamella sp. Gris1-4. RNAcentral describes it as "bacterial SSU rRNA". It matches the Rfam family "Bacterial small subunit ribosomal RNA", at positions 1 to 451 of the family's 1533-position model. Lineage: Bacteria; Pseudomonadati; Pseudomonadota; Gammaproteobacteria; Orbales; Orbaceae. The record is from RNAcentral.
UUAAAUUGAAGAGUUUGAUCAUGGCUCAGAUUGAACGCUGGCGGCAGGCUUAACACAUGCAAGUCGAACGGUAACAUGAGUGCUUGCACUUGAUGACGAGUGGCGGACGGGGGAGUAAGGUAUGGGGAUCUGCCGAAUGGAGGGGGACAACAGUUGGAAACGACUGCUAAUACCGCAUAAAGUUGAGAGACCAAAGCAUGGGACCUACGGGCCAUGCGCCAUUUGAUGAACCCAUAUGGGAUUAGCUAGUUGGUGGGGUAAUGGCUCACCAAGGCGACGAUCUCUAGCUGGUCUGAGAGGAUGACCAGCCACACUGGAACUGAGACACGGUCCAGACUCCUACGGGAGGCAGCAGUGGGGAAUAUUGCACAAUGGGGGAAACCCUGAUGCAGCCAUGCCGCGUGUAUGAAGAAGGCCUUCGGGUUGUAAAGUACUUUCGGUGAUGAGGAAGG